Molecule: long non-coding RNA, 2887 nt
Organism: Leopardus geoffroyi (Geoffroy's cat)
Lineage: Eukaryota; Metazoa; Chordata; Mammalia; Carnivora; Felidae
Exons: 3
Source: RefSeq, a predicted model, not a curated record
AAAAUGUGGUGGGUGUGAACUGCCUCCCUGAGCUGGGAGCUGCCACUCACCCCCUGCCCCAUUUCUCCUGGCCUUGGUGUGCAGGUGCCAGGAACGAGAGUGAGGGGCAGCGCACAGAGGGACCACUGCUUUGGUGAAUGUGUGGGCAGAGACAAGGAAGAAACGUUGCCAACAGGCUUCGGGUCAAUGUCUAAGGAGAGUCUGUUCCUGGCUUCUGGGGACUCACGCUAGAGCACUGUGGGUAAGAGCGCUGCCUUUAGAACCAGACCGACCGAGUUUUUACUGUUAGGCCGAUCGCUUCCUCCCUGGGUCUCAGUUUACCACCCUGGGAUAGUGCUCGGGGCUGCUGUGUUGAACUGCCCCAGGGGCACCAUCAAAGCAGGGGGGGGGGGGGCGGGUUUGGAGGCCUGGUCGUGAAGUCUGAACGAGCUGACCCUUGUUAAGCGUUCAACCCAUGAGUGCACGUGGUCAGUGCCCCGUACACGCCAACUGCUGUGUGUGACGCAACAUGUCCGGGUGGCACUGGCCGGGGGCACUGAAGCUCUGGAGACGUGGGUGGAGAUCUAGACACGCAGGUGACAACUGACGCCUUGGGGCUGGGGGCGGUACCCAAGGAGAGAACGGGAAGGGACCGGUCCAGGGCAGGGCUCCAAGAAGCAGCAGAGGGCACAGGAAGCAUGUCAGGAAAGGCAGUGGGGGAAGGGCUGGAAAGAAGGGGAAAGGAACAGAGAGGCCCCCAGGGCGGGGGAGGGGGGAUGGGUCGUGGAGAGGAUGGAAGGGGCUGGGCACUCAAGAGAGAGGCACGUGGACUUAUGCUUAGGGACCACAUGGUCUUUGGUGACUCAGAGGAGGACAGUUUCAGUGAAGCCAGGGGGCAGAGAUCGAGGCAUGACUGGGACGAGAGGCAGUGGGGACAGCCCACAUAGUUGGACUGUGAGUGUGAGGACAGAAAGGGGCGGUCCCUAGGAAGUACGUGGGAUUGGGAAAGACAUGGCUAGAUGGAGGGGCGGGUGGGUGGAUAGACAGACAGACUUCUAGUUCCUGUCCCUGAGCAGUGGGGUUUCCCCUAGUUGUACUCGGAGAGAAUAUUCAAGAGUAGAACACCUUAUAGGCAAAGGAGGAGCUGAGGGAAAAGUGAAGGCAGAGUUGGGGGCGCUGCGUGGACUGGGUAAUGCUAGAUUCUAUGGAAAGAAGAAAGAGAAGAAUCUAGGGCAGAGGGGAGAGGUGGGAGAUGCCAGUGACUUGGACCAGAUGUGCCCACGGAGAAGGGGUCUUGGCCUGGUCUUGAACAGUCAGGCUGUUCUAGGAGGGCAACGGCCGUGAGCCUCCCUCCACAUGAAGACAGGUCUCGAGCUGGGCAGGAGGCGAAGGCUAGGCCAGCUGUCUCAGAGCUGUGUCAGCCCCAGCAGAGCGAGCUAGCCAAGCUAGAACCAGAAUUUUGCACUCUCGGAGUGGUCUUGUGGUCAUAUUCCCUGUGUUUCCCGAGCAUAUUUCCCUUGUCUAACCACCUAGAAGUCUGCUAAGUCGUGCUGAUUGUUCUCAUCUUCCCUCCCUUGCGUUCAGUGGAGUCAAAGGAAGCUUCCUGCCAACUCGGAGAAUUAGCCAGAAGUAGUACACCCCCGGGACCAGGGACAUUUUUCAACGAAGAGGAACAUGGCAUAGGACAAGAAGCAAAAGAAAAGAAAGCCCCACUUUGGGACCAGGAGGAAUCACGGGAAGAUCAUUUGCAGUGGUGGUUCUCAACCGGGGCGAUGGGGCGGGACAUUUGGCAAGGCUCGGAGACCGGUGGGGGUUGCCACUGGCAUCGAGUGGGUAGGAGCCAGGGAUGCCGCUCGACAUCCCACCAUUCACAGUCCAGCCCCUUAUACCAAAAACCGGCCCCGAAUGUCCACAGUGAUGAGUUUGAGAAACCUUGGUUUAGAGGAAACAAAUUAAAUCAGAGCUACCUGGGUUUGUGAAAAAGAACAAACGCGAUGGAGAACAAAUUUAAGAUUCACGUGAGCGGAAGGAAUAGUCUUGGUGCGUAUAAACAUGGGGUCUGGGCAACUGUUUCUAGGCUAGAAGUAGGCGGUGGCCUGUUCGGGCAAAAACUGUCAUCUUUGCGGCCCCCGCGUUGCCAGGCAUGGGCUUGAAGCGCAUCACAUACUCAGCAAUGUUUGGUUCUCUCCUGGGGGGCGGGGGGGCUGGGGGGAGGGGGGGCGGGGAGGGAGUAACCUUCUGCAAAGUGUUACCCAACACUUCCAGGGACACGCCAGGCUCUGGGCUGGGCCACAGUGAUGCAGGAGACCGGGAGCCUCCAGUCCACCAGGGACAGAGACACGAAGGACCAACCGCAAUUCAGAGACGUUAUUGCCACAGAAAACGAAGUGCAUUGACUUCUGACCCAGAGAGUGCAAGGGGGACCUCUCCGUGGCAAGGACGCCUGGCCUGGGCUCUGGAGGAGGCCCAGGCGUGAUGCCAGUGUUUUUGCCCUCUCCUCCUUCUCAGGACCCAAAGUUUCCACCUUCUUCCACUGAGUAGAGCCAACAAUGGGUAGAAGAUGAGAAGGCAAAUAGACCCAUGAAGGGCCUGACUGGUCAGCUGAUCGGGGAGACUCUUGGUAAUCGCCUAUUCAGCCCUCUCCUUCCAAGAUAAGGGGCCUAAUCCCCAGGUGGCUUCAUGAGGCCGUCACAAGGAACAGUGCUGACUGUAAACCUAUACCUCUGUCCUGGAAGAACCCAAGAGUCACGGUGCUCUGUGACCUGCUUCCAAGGGAUCCGAUUGUGCCACAAGAACAUCGGCGGGGAGCUGGAGACAGCAGGUGGCAGGCCCGUGAGAGCCGCCCUCCUGAAACACCCUUUGCCUUUUCUCAUCUCCAGAUGGCUAAGAUGGGACAUGACCAGAUAUG